This 505-nucleotide ribosomal RNA is filed under the name uncultured bacterium. Its description in RNAcentral is "partial 16S ribosomal RNA". It matches the Rfam family "Bacterial small subunit ribosomal RNA", at positions 28 to 507 of the family's 1533-position model. The record is from RNAcentral.
GACGAACGCUGGCGGCGUGCCUAAUACAUGCAAGUAGAACGCACAGUUUAUACCGUAGCUUGCUACACCAUAGACUGUGAGUUGCGAACGGGUGAGUAACGCGUAGGUAACCUGCCUGGUAGCGGGGGAUAACUAUUGGAAACGAUAGCUAAUACCGCAUAAUAUUGAUUAUUGCAUGAUAAUUGAUUGAAAGAUGCUAUUGCAUCACUACCAGAUGGACCUGCGUUGUAUUAGCUAGUAGGUGAGGUAACGGCUCACCUAGGCGACGAUACAUAGCCGACCUGAGAGGGUGAGCGGCCACACUGGGACUGAGACACGGCCCAGACUCCUACGGGAGGCAGCAGUAGGGAAUCUUCGGCAAGGGACGAAAGUCUGACCGAGCAACGCCGCGGGAGGGAAGAAGGGUGUCGGAUCGGAAAGCUCUGUUGUAAGAGAAGAACGGGUGUGAGAGUGGAAAGUUCACACUGUGACGGUAUCUUACCAGAAAGGGACGGCUAACUACGUG